GAUGAACGCUGGCGGCGUGCCUAAUACAUGCAAGUCGAGCGAACAGAUGAGGAGCUUGCUCCGCUGACGCUAGCGGCGGACGGGUGAGUAACACGUGGAUAACCUACCUAUAAGACUGGGAUAACUUCGGGAAACCGGAGCUAAUACCGGAUAAUAUAUUGAACCGCAUGGUUCAAUAGUGAAAGACGGUUUUGCUGUCACUUAUAGAUGGAUCCGCGCCGCAUUAGCUAGUUGGUAAGGUAACGGCUUACCAAGGCAACGAUGCGUAGCCGACCUGAGAGGGUGAUCGGCCACACUGGAACUGAGACACGGUCCAGACUCCUACGGGAGGCAGCAGUAGGGAAUCUUCCGCAAUGGGCGAAAGCCUGACGGAGCAACGCCGCGUGAGUGAUGAAGGUCUUCGGAUCGUAAAACUCUGUUAUUAGGGAAGAACAAAUGUGUAAGUAACUAUGCACGUCUUGACGGUACCUAAUCAGAAAGCCACGGCUAACUACGUG
Molecule: ribosomal RNA, 497 nt
Filed under: uncultured bacterium
Lineage: Bacteria
Description: partial 16S ribosomal RNA
Rfam family: Bacterial small subunit ribosomal RNA
Source: RNAcentral